Molecule: ribosomal RNA, 873 nt
Filed under: uncultured bacterium
Lineage: Bacteria
Description: bacterial SSU rRNA
Rfam family: Bacterial small subunit ribosomal RNA
Source: RNAcentral
CCGCGGGAUUAGAGUUUGAUCCUGGCUCGAAUCAACGCUGGCGGCGUGCCUAACGCAUGCAAGUCGCGCGCGAAUAGGGGGCAACUCCUUAGUAGAGCGGCGAACGGGUGAGUAACACGUGGGUAAUCUACCUUCGAGUGGGGAACAACACCGGGAAACUGGUGCUAAUUCCGCAUGACAUCGUCGGGGCUUCGGUCCUGACGAUCAAAGCCGGGGAUCGCAAGACCUGGCGCUUGAAGAUGAGCCCGCGUCCGAUUAGCUAGUUGGCGGGGUAAUGGCCCACCAAGGCUUCGAUCGGUAGCCGGCCUGAGAGGGCGGACGGCCACACUGGAACUGAGACACGGUCCAGACUCCUACGGGAGGCAGCAGUGGGGAAUUUUUCGCAAUGGGGGCAACCCUGACGAAGCAACGCCGCGUGGGGGAUGAAGGUCUUCGGAUUGUAAACCCCUGUCGACUGGGACGAAUGUAGUCCGGCCUAAUAUGCCGAGCUAUUGACUGUACCGGUGGAGGAAGCCACGGCUAACUCUGUGCCAGCAGCCGCGGUAAUACAGAGGUGGCAAGCGUUGUUCGGAAUUACUGGGCGUAAAGGGCGCGUAGGUGGUUCGCUAAGUCCCAUGUGAAAGCCCUCGGCUCAACUGAGGAAUGGCAUGGGGAACUGGUGGGCUAGAGUUCGGGAGAGGGAAGCGGAAUUCCGGGUGUAGCGGUGAAAUGCGUAGAUAUCCGGAGGAACACCGGUGGCGAAGGCGGCUUCCUGGACCGACACUGACACUGAGGCGCGAAAGCUAGGGGAGCAAACGGGAUUAGAUACCCCGGUAGUCCUAGCUGUAAGCGAUGAGCGCUGGGUGUAGGAGGUUAUAACCCCUCCUGUGCCGA